AAAAAAAUACGUGAACUUAGGAUGGAGGCUUAGAGGGGCCAGAAGGUGGUCCAUUAUGUAUAAUGGACCACCUUCUGGCCCCUCUAAGCCUCCAUCCUAAGUUCACGUUCUCCAU
Pelobates cultripes (western spadefoot toad) is the source of this 115-nucleotide non-coding RNA. The record is from the annotation of a GenBank genome assembly. Lineage: Eukaryota; Metazoa; Chordata; Amphibia; Anura; Pelobatidae.